Molecule: ribosomal RNA, 253 nt
Filed under: uncultured bacterium
Lineage: Bacteria
Description: partial 16S ribosomal RNA
Rfam family: Bacterial small subunit ribosomal RNA
Source: RNAcentral
UACGAGAGGCCCAAACGUUAUUCGGAUUUACUGGGCUUAAAGAGUUCGUAGGCGGCUUGGAAAGUGGGGUGUGAAAGCCCUCGGCUCAACCGAGGAAUUGCGCUCCAAACUGCCGAGCUUGAGGAAGCUAGAGGUGAGCAGAACUGAUGGUGGAGCGGUGAAAUGCGUUGAUAUCAGGAAGAACACCCGUGGCGAAAGCGGCUCUCUGGAACGGUACUGACGCUGAGACGCGAAAGCGUGGGGAGCGAACAGG